Molecule: ribosomal RNA, 329 nt
Filed under: uncultured eukaryote
Lineage: Eukaryota
Description: partial 18S ribosomal RNA
Rfam family: Eukaryotic small subunit ribosomal RNA
Source: RNAcentral
CCCUUAGAUGUUCUGGGCCGCACGCGCGCUACACUGAUGCAUUCAACGAGUCUAAAACCUGCUCUGAUAGGGGUGGGUAAUCUUUUGAAUGUGCAUCGUGAUUGGGAUAGAUGAUUGCAAUUUUUCAUCUUCAACGAGGAAUGCCUAGUAAACGCAAGUCAUCAGCUUGCAUUGAUUACGUCCCUGCCCUUUGUACACACCGCCCGUCGCUCCUACCGAUUGAAUGAUCCGAUGAAUAUCAUGGAUUGAGGAUGCAAGUAGGUUAGCCUAUCUUCAUCUUCGAGAAGUGAAGUAAAUCUUAUCAUUUAGAGGAAGAAAAAGUCGUAACA